Molecule: ribosomal RNA, 94 nt
Filed under: Dyschoriste linearis
Lineage: Eukaryota; Viridiplantae; Streptophyta; Magnoliopsida; Lamiales; Acanthaceae
Also listed under: 1 other name
Description: 5.8S ribosomal RNA
Rfam family: 5.8S ribosomal RNA
About the family: 5.8S ribosomal RNA (5.8S rRNA) is a component of the large subunit of the eukaryotic ribosome. It is transcribed by RNA polymerase I as part of the 45S precursor that also contains 18S and 28S rRNA.
Source: RNAcentral
AAAACAACUCUCGGCAACGGAUAUCUCGGCUCUCGCAUCGAUGAAGAACGUAGCGAAAUGCGAUACUUGGUGUGAAUUGUAGAAUCCUGUGAAC